This 439-nucleotide ribosomal RNA is filed under the name uncultured bacterium. RNAcentral's name for it is "partial 16S ribosomal RNA". It matches the Rfam family "Bacterial small subunit ribosomal RNA", at positions 339 to 795 of the family's 1533-position model. The record is from RNAcentral.
CUACGGGCUGCACCAGUGAGGAAUAUUGCACAAUGGGGGGAACCCUGAUGCAGCAACGCCGCGUGGAGGAUGACGCAUUUCGGUGUGUAAACUCCUUUUAUAUGUCAAGAAAAUGACGGUAGCAUAUGAAUAAGCACCGGCUAACUCCGUGCCAGCAGCCGCGGUAAUACGGAGGGUGCAAGCGUUACUCGGAAUCACUGGGCGUAAAGGACGCGUAGGCGGGUUGGAAAGUCAGGUGUGAAAUCCUACAGCUUAACUGUAGAACUGCACUUGAAACUUCUAAUCUAGAGUAUGGGAGGGGGAGAUGGAAUUAGUGGUGUAGGGGUAAAAUCCGUAGAUAUCACUAGGAAUACCUAAAGCGAAGGCGAUCUCCUGGAACAUUACUGACGCUAAGGCGUGAAAGCGUGGGGAGCAAACAGGAUUAGAUACCCGGGUAGUC